Molecule: long non-coding RNA, 4639 nt
Filed under: Equus caballus (horse)
Lineage: Eukaryota; Metazoa; Chordata; Mammalia; Perissodactyla; Equidae
Description: lncRNA (ENSECAG00000046640.1)
Source: RNAcentral
CCAGAACCCAGACCUGGGUCACAGGCCCCGCCAGGCCUCGGGGCAAAGGUCACACAGCAGUCCCUGCACGCCAGGUCCUGGACGUCCAGGGGGUGAGGCACGUGACGUGACUGAGACCAGAGUCAAGGGCAAACUCCCCACCCCUCAGUGGGAGGGCGCCACAAAGUUACAGAGCAGAAGCCUGGACACAGGUCAUGGUGAGGCCUGGGGACACCAACACGAUCUGUCAUGGGGGGGACAGAUAACUCAACUUUAAAGUCAAGGCUGCUGGAUCAUGACAAGGCAUAUCCCAACCCAGUGUGCUCAUCACCUGGAGAUUCUGGACCUGGAGGUGGACGUCGAGACCAGACCGGCUUUAGGAGGCAGAGAAUGUGCUCUGUGGGAGGUGACCUUGGAGGCCGCAUGUUCCCAAAGACAGUUGGAAGAUGCAGAAGAGCAGGACGGCUCCGCUCGCACCGAGCCUGGACGUUCAGAGAAGGACCGAGCGCAGGAGGCCCGCCUCGAGCUCCCUCUGCUUCUCCCAGGACACCUUUCAAAACGACUGCUCAGAGUGGAGCCCGAGAAAAGUGAGUGCUCUCUGCCCCAACCACCCUGCACAUAACAGGUGCCCACCGCCCUGCUAUCCGUCUCCUGCGGGCUCAGGACCUGGACAGAGGACUGCCCUUCCCCCAUCUCCCUGCCCCCCAGCUCCUGGAUCUAUGGUGAUAAACCUGUGACCCCACUUCCUUUGUGUGAUGGUCCUGAAAUGGCGCCUUGCGUCAAAAUGACCCUGGGGUUUUCACUUCCCCAGCAGAGUGGGAGCUGGGACGCCCAGGGAGCAACCUGCUAACCCCGUGUGGGUGGCUCGUGCCCCAUCAUUCAGCAGGUCAUCAUCUGCAGAUUCUUAAUUCACUACACCAGCUAUAGUGCCCCCCACACAAGACCCGAUCUCCAAAUACAGCCACAUGGGAGGUUGGGGCUUCAACAUACGUGUUUUGGGGGGACUACUCAGUCUAUAACACUAAAGGAGGUAAAAAUGCCAGAACUCAGGAAAGCAGGAAUGCCAGAUUGGAUAUGAGCUCGGAAGACCAGUGUAUUCGUUUCUUCUCACUGCUGUAAACAUGUGCAAAUUCCUGAAAACUUGGUGGCUUAAAACGGUUUUGUGGUUUCUCACAGUCUGGAGGCCAGAAAAUGAAACUGAAAUCAAGAUGCCUUAGGGCCCUGUUCCCUCCGAAAAGUCUAAGGGAGUGUCCUUUUCCUGGGCUUUUCCAGCUUCUAGAAUGGCAUUCCGUGGAUCAUGGCCUCUUCCUCUGUCUUCAAAGCCAGUCGCCUGGCAUCUUCCAAUCUCCCUCUGCUUCCAUCCUCGCAUGACCUUCUUCUGCCAAAUCCCCCUCUGCCUCCCUUAUGGGCCCUGGUGAUGACAUCGGGCCCACCCGGAGAAACAGGCUAAAUUUCCUCAUUUCAGAAUGCUUCAUCGCAUCUGCAAAGGGAUUAGAACCUGGAUAUCUCUGGGGUCCUUAUUUAGCCGAUCACAGCCAGAAACCCCACCAGCGGGUUGUGCUCUGUGGGAGGCCCUAAAGGAAACUUCAUUUACCAAUGUAACAGGAGUGUUCGGGUGAGGAGAGCACCAGCAUCAGCGAGAAGGCGAGUGGAGGCCGGCCACUGUGGGCCAGGCCGAUGGCAGGGAUGCUCUUUCAGAACUGUACUCCCAGAGCACCUGGGACAAUGGGACCCGAAACAGCAGAAGGCCAGGAGCAGCACCCAAACAUCAGAAGCAAGGAGGGUGCAUUAUCAGAGGCCCAGCAGGGUGGUCUUGGAGCCAGGGGCUCAGUGACCGGCAGAGAGCUGAGAGACCAUCAGUAAAACAUGGCAUUCCUAGGUGAGACCCAUGGGCAGCCAGCAAGGAUACUGCACCAUCUCUAUGAGCAAAAGAAAUUAACAAGGUCUGCUCAGGAGGCUGAGAACGGCCAGCCUAUUACAGGCUGAACCAUGUCCCCCAAAUUCAUAUGUCAGUCUUGACCCCCAGCACCUCAGAUGUGACCGUAUUUGGAGAUGGGGUCUUUAAAGAGGUGAUUAAGGUAAAAUGAGGUCACUAGGGUGGGCCCUAAUCCAGUGUAACUAGCGUCCUUAUACGAAGAGGAUAUGAGGACACAGACACACACAAAGGGACGACCAUGUGAGGACACAGGGAAGAGACGGCGUCUACACGCCAAGGAGAGAGGCCUCAGCGGGAACCAGGCCCACCCACACCUGGAUCUCAGAUGGCCAGCCUCCAGGACUGGGAGACAAUACAUUUUUCCAGUAUGAGCCAUCUUUGUGUAGUGUUUGUCACGGCAGCCCAAGGCAUGGUCCCCUGCCUGAGCUAGUUUUCAGACCCGUAACCACUGACCAAAGGAGGAGUCAGGUCCCCUUAGGAAGGACCCUGAGAUGCCAUGGUGCAUGGAUGUGGUGGACCCCAGCGGCCCUGCCCCACCCCCAAAGCCAUCACCACGACUGGAGAUGUAAUUCAGAACCACAUCGUGGGGAAAGGAGAGCACGCAGGCUCUUCGAGGCUGCUGGACCUGGGCGCCAAGCUGGCACUGACAGCCAGGGAUGGAGGCACCAGUGUGGCCCUGUCAGAGGAGGGCGUAUGGAGGCCAUGGAGGCUUGGUGGCUCACACUGAACCAGGCCACUACUGGGUCCCUGGACCACUGCUUAUUCCCCCCAGACCCCAAAUGUAUACCCGGACCAUCUUAGUGGCUGGCAGAACUCCCCCGUAGGUUGUUGGUCCAGGGGAGCAAAAACCAUCACAGCAGAAGCCUCUGAAACUGCCCCUCCACCAUAGCCAAGACAGGAAAACAAGAAUAAUACACACGCUGGGGAGGAGCAGCGAAUGGUGCCCCUCCGAGAGACCACCAUCGCCCCCAAUUAGUUCACCAGUCCAGCUGCACAAAACGGGAGGAAUGGCGGAGGAUGCUGGCAGACCACUGCGAACUUGUGUCAAGCCGACUGGGCCCUGGGGCGCCCAGACAUUUGGUCAACCGUUAUUCUGGGCAUGUCUGUGUGGGCGUUUCUCAUAGAGAUUAACAUUUGAAAGGAUAGAUAAGGAAGGAACGAGGGCCGAGGCCCGGCCCUCCCUAGUGCGGGCGAGCGUGCUCUCUGCCCAACAGCCUUCCAGCUGGAGCCAGGGUCUCCUCCUGCCUUCAGAGUUGCACCAGACCUUAUACCAUUGGUCUCCCAGUUCUCGAGCCUUCAGACUGCUGAGCUUGGGACUUCUGGGCCUCCAUAAUCACACGAGCCAACUCCUUAUGAUAAAUCCCUUUGUGUAUAUUUAUCCUAUUGGCUGUGUCCCUCUGGAGGACCCUGACCAGUACAUAAGUCAACCGAGCAGUCGCCCAGUGGCAGCUGCUGGGCCAGCUAUGACAUCUUCGCUAGAGCAGAGUGACACAGCGUUGGGUACAUGGUACGUGGCCACCAAUCUCGCGAGUGAGUCCUAUUCCACCCCCAGUAAGAAGGAGCCCUGGAUAUCUCUGGGGGGCCGUUAUCCUGCCCUGCGCCCCUGGGGAAGAGGCACGUGGUAAACCUACGGGAUUGGCCGUGAGGGGCAAGAUCUUGGUACCACGUGUUUGUGUCCUCCAGGAGAGGCAAUAAGCAACCGACAGGUAGAAUGGCCUCUGACACUGGCCUCCCAAAUGCUGGCCCACUGGGCCAAUGAAUGGGGUAGCCUUGGGGACAGACGUGGAGGCUGUCUAUGGGGCCAACAGCAUGGCCUCAUCCACCAAGGCUGAUCCAGCUAGGACCGCAGCCAAAUGUCCAACCUGCCAGUCACAGGCUGCUAUUGAGCCCCAGCUAUGGUGCCACCCUUGAGGGGGGCGUUCAGGUAAACCACUCACUUUGGAGACUUCCCACUGCAAGGGGCAGCUUUGCAUCCUCAGUGGAACUGACACACACACCAGGCUGAUCAUCCCCGACCACAGGAUCUCAGCCCACCCCACUCUAUGAGGACUUAUAAAGUGUUUGACCCACCAACACGGGAUGUGCAUGGCAUCACCCUGGACCAAGGGACCCACUUUAUGACUUGACAGGAGGUGUGGCAGUGGGCCUGUGGCCAUGCAGUUCCCAGCAGAGACCACAGCACUCAGAGGCCGCCAGCCCCCCAGAGCAUGGGAGCUGCCUUUGGAAAGCUCAGCUGAGGCCACCGCUGGGCUGACACCAUUUGAGAAUGGGGCAUCACGUUGCAGGAUGCAGCAUUCACUCUAAACCAACAAGCACCAUGUGGUGCACCAUCCCCAUUGAGUCUUGGAAUGAGGGAUAGAGCGGGGGUGGCCUCACUCACCAUCACUCCUGAUACCGAACCUCUUAAUCUCAAGUUUGUGUGCCCGAUGCACAGGAAACCAGUCACUGAGACGCAGUGCUUGGAGAUGCGGAAAGGUUUAUUUGAAUUGGCCAAAAUGAGAAGGCAGGAGGAUAGGUCCUCCCAAAUCCACCUUAACAAGAGAAGAAAGCAGGGGGUUUUAUAGAGCUAAGGGGCUUGGGAAGAGGCAUUGAAGAGAAACAAAGAGGUAAUCUGUGUUUCUUGCACUCCAGACAAGCCCUUGGGCAACCUGACUUCUGGGGAUCAAGGGCAGCUGGGGGCUGGUUAUCCCUGAUCUGUAACUUAGCCUCAUUGAAUAUUUACAG